AGUAAUAAAAAUACAGCAAUAUUUUUUUUAUGAAACACCCAUCUCACGUACAUUGACGGCCUUAAAACAAACGAAACUACAUAAAUGCAGUUGCAACGAACAUUACUAUCUCUUUGUGUUUGUUACACAAGCCGUUUCAUGAUCAUGUGUUUUGUAAACACCAGUUUUUAUGAGUGUUGUUACUUUAGUUUCGUAGCGAAAACAUUCUAUUUCGAAAACGUAAGGUCAUUUAUUUUUGAAAAGCGUUGAUCAAGAGAGGAGCUCGCGAAACACUUCACAUGUUAAGCAGUUAUCGCAGUCAAUGGACAUCAAGACCAGCAUCCAUAUCGGAAUACCAUUUGAUGUUCCUAUGACAAGAUUAGGUUCCUUCAUCAUGGGCGUAAUAUCUGUCAGUUGAACGUUGAUAGAGCAGACCGGCGACGUACCUGCUGGUGCUGGCGGUGGAGGAGGAGCGGCGCGCGCUGCGCAGACGGUCGGCGGCGGAGUGGCGCCGGUGCUCCUCCUGCUCGGCCGCCAGACGCAGUAUACGACUCCGCAGCUCGCCCUCUUCGCAUAUAUCUGUACCACACGACAAUAUAUAGUAUAUUAAUACGUGAAGCAAAAGCUUAGUACCCCUUUUUACGAAAAUUGCGCGGACGGAGGAGUAUGAAAUUUCCCACACUUGUAGAGAAUAUAGAGAAGAAGUGCAGAAUGCUAAUAUUUUUUUUAAAUUAUGUAUUAAAAAUACAUUAAAUCAGUAAAGAAAACAUUACACA
Bombyx mori (domestic silkworm) is the source of this 755-nucleotide long non-coding RNA. RefSeq lists it as uncharacterized. Lineage: Eukaryota; Metazoa; Arthropoda; Insecta; Lepidoptera; Bombycidae. The record is from RefSeq and is a predicted model, not a curated record. The transcript has 2 exons.